UCGCCCCGCUUCCGCGCGCCUCCUGGAGGCGCUGCUCCACUCCUUAAAGGGGCCGCGCCCGGCGUGGCGGGGGGCGAGGCGGGGCGAGGGGCGCGUGGCCGGGCCGCCGUGGGUGACCUGCGCCGGCGGCGACGCGAGAGGCGAGUGUCGCCCGGGCGGAGCCACCUGCCGAGGGGCCCUGGCGAAGGUAGCGGCCGCCGGGGCGAAGCCUGUAAGGGGAGACUGAGGUAACGCGGCGGCACCAGAUCAACCUCGUCCCGCCGGGCCGCGGAGGAAAUGGAAGCGUUGGGUCCUGCCUCAGGCGCCCUCCGCGCCGGCCUCGGGGAGCCUGUCCCCAGCGAGCCCCGCGGGGUUAUGGCAGGUGAAUGCCGUGGGUGGUGGGUGCCCAGGUUUAGUGUCCCAGUGCCUCUGUACCUUGGGGGUCAGGUGGGUGGCAGGCUGGCCUCGGGGGCACGGGGUGUGAGGAGCCCUUCCUCACGCAGGUGUGAGGGUACCCACCACCUGAACCAGGGCCUGCCGCUUCAUCGAGCUGCCCUGGCCCCUCUGGCCAACGUGUUGAAGUGUGGUGGGAGGUUUUUGGGUCCCUUUCACCGUGCUUGGCCAAAUUAAUAUUUAUUUAAAGGGGAACAGGCCCAACGAGAGAGCUCCAGUGCAGGGAAGGAGCUAGGCAGGGCUCAACAACAUUACUCCUGUUUUAACGUAACUAUGUGGAUGGUUCCUGCAUUAGCAACAUUUCUGGACGGUGUUUCUCAGACAUGGGACUUUGGUCUCUAUUAACUUGCUCAACCUUUCCAAGUGAUCUCAACCACGUUGCAGAGUUUGCUGCUGCUGGACGGGAGCAGAUCAUGGGAAGAGCUUGGGGUGAAGGCUGUCUAGAGGAACAAUUCGAUGAGUGUCCUGCUUUCCCCCUACUGCUGGGACAACAUGGGGUUAAAUAAGGCUUUCAAGGCAGAAAGACAGAUUUUAUGAAGCAACUUUUUUGUUACUACCGAGUGAUAUGGUGAGUAAUGGUCACAGGAAAAUUGCUGAAUGGUCUGCAAUCUGAACGAGCAGCAAGCAAGACAAGGGGUAUAUUUUCUUCCACUGCAGUUGCUGAAUUCAUGUGUGGACAGUCUGUCCCAGAAGCUUGAGAGUUCUUCAAGAAAAAUUGGUGCCAGUUGUAUGACUUGUGGUUACGAAGAGUCUCGCUACACAUCUGUGUGGACCAGCUCCAGGUCUAAUCUGGAAAGCUGAGUGAUCAUCCAUUCAACAUCUUUCACAUGACAUACGCCUAUCCUACUUCUGACAGCUGCAGAAUAAACACAGGGUUUCACACAGGAGAGCAUGUUAACCUCCCAAUAAAUAAAACUUUGAAGCAUCUGCCACACAGUCCCCAGCUCUCACAUCUGUGCUCGCAGUGGGCAUUGCAUCAGGAAAGAGCAGAUGAACCAUCAGCCUGGGGUGCACUUCGAGCUCCAGGUUUCCUCCCCCUCUCUCUUCCCAGUGCAGCCACCCCGCAGGGGCCUAUCCUCCAUAAGAUAAGUGAAAACAAUAACAUUGGUAAUAGCUGAUCUGGAUGCGCCCCAAAUAUUUGCCCCGUGAUACAAAUGCUUGUGGUAUCCCACGGACCAUCCUCCAGACAAAUGUUUUGAAUUAUCUGUUUCCAGGAAUGAGCUUUUGGGAAUGGCCCGGAGCAGCUUCCCCAAACACUUUAGCUACUUUGGGCCAGGCGAGAAGCUCCACCACACAGGUAAAACCCUGGCCUCGUGCCCUGAUGAGCUGCCUGCCCUCUCCCCUUUCCGCAGGGACGAAGGCAGGAUGGAGCAGGCAGCCAGACAGGGGCAUGGCGUGCGGGCUGCACACAGGGCAGGGGCUGGCUCUGCGCAGGCUGCUGCGGGGCUCAGAGCAGAGCAGGGCCCUGUAGGCUGCGGUCCCAGGUGCUGUGCCAGGGUGCCAGAGCCAGGCAGCGGUACAGUCUCUGAUGGCAGCCCAUGGGACAGGCACCUUGCAGGUCCUGACAGCCUCCCAGGUCCGUUCCUGUGUUCUUCUGGGGAUGUGACAGCGCCUUGUUAUCAGACCUCUUCUUGUGGGAAACUUCCCACGCAGUAGAGUUUGAUCCGGCUCUCAUAAUUAUCACACCUAGGCUCCAGUCUGCAGACUGUUGACAGACGCCCAAAUUAACAAAGUCCUUAGUGCCUUGCAAUAAUAACCUUGGUUAAUAAAACUGGGCGAAGUAUAUAAUCACAAUAAGGCUGCUAUGUGUACACAAAGGCAAGAUUAAUAAACCAUUGUCAAGCCCGGGCUAAGUCAAUAAAGUGGAACUGACUGGAAGCCAGGACAGCAGGCAGGUAAUCAUUAAUCUGUAUGUGUGAUAUUGAAUUUAAAGACCAGAUGUUACUGGAAACCCUUGCAGAUGCAUGGGGUGUCUGGGAGGGCACCGCAGCCCCUGUUACCUUACACCCCUGCGGGCAGAGCAGGAAGAGCCGCAUUCUUUGUGAUUAACCCAGCUUGAACUUUGAAAUCUGAGUCCCAAAUAUUUGCAAGAAAUUUGCAGCUAAAACAAAGGAUUGGGGUUUGAAAGGCCCUUUCGUUCUACAGUGUGGGACAAGCUUCCUACAGGGCUUGGGGCAAGUCCCUUCACCUCCUGGGACCUCACUUUCCCAUGUUCAGAGUAUGAUUCUUCCCCAAAUAUAUUUCCUUUGUAUGUCUCAUUUCCAGGGGGAAUUAGUACUAAAGUUUUAGAAGGGAAAAACAAGAAGGCAAAACUAAGAAAUACCAAACCCUAAUACUAGAGAGUUUUUGCUUAUUUUAAAGAGCACUUCAAAAGAAGUCUUUGCCUAAAUACCUGGAUAGUACUUUGUUACCCAGCUCAUACUCACAGUUACUGUACAAGAAGGCACCACAUUUCCAGGAAUCACAUCUUCACAGCUGCAAGUUUCCUACGCGGAGAAAGAUGGUCUUACAUUGUGUGGGCUUUAACAGAGCCGUUUCCCCAGCACUGGGUGGCCAGUAAAUAAUCCCCUUUCCUUUCCUCAUCCCAGAGCAAUCAUCAGGGUCUCCAGAGGACAGGGGGGUUGAGGGGUGAUUUGAUGGCCCGAGGAUGCAGCGUGCCCACCCCACAGGCAGGCACGGGGAAAGCCCCAGCGCAGGCUCCUGCAGAUGAACCCCACCAGCAGCACUUGCUUACAGAAGUUGCAGCCAGAGCAGACUACUUAUUUUACCCUUGUGAAAGUGCUUUAACUUAAGAAUAAAAUAUUGUUUUACCCUCUGCCCUGCUGCUCAGUGUAACUCCAGUGUUAGCUUCCACAACUAUAACAAACCUUCUAAGCAAACAGCUUUUAAGCUCUGCUUCCAAACCAGGCUGGAUAAGGAGCAAGCAAGCUCAGUUAGGUGCAGUGGCCGAGCCAUUGCCCAUUCCUCUGUCUCUGCUCCCACUGACCCUUGAGAGACGGGGCUUAGUCCUUCCACUUUACAGCUCACCCUGAAAUGAGUAAAUAGGAUAUUUGUUUCCUCAUUUGCAUGGAUAUUUUAACUGCUUGGAGCCAGCACAAAGCCUCUGCAGCUUUUAAAGCUGUGGGUUUGAGUGGAUCGCUUCCCCGUAGGAUGGCAAAAGUAGCCCUGAUGUGGCUGCACAGGGUGUUCUGAACUGUGUCACCCGUGUGACAAACAGGGGUGAAGAAGCUGAUUUUGCAAGGUGGCAAUAGUUGGUCAGACUCUCCAAGGUGGGGAUGAGUCUCCCCAUCAUCUCUCCAAAGAGCACAGCCCCGGUGGCAAGCAGAGCUGGCAGGAGGGCAGGGAAGUGAUGGAAACUUCCCAGGGGAGAGUUAUUGAAGAGACUGAACAGGCUCUGGUACACCUCAGCACAAGUAAACGUAGCAAUGUCAGGCCUGAGUGCCCUGUUUUGUCUCAUGACAGCACAUUCACAAAUAUCUCAAACAUUUAUUUUCCUUUGUGCAGCCUCACAUGCUGCCACCCAGCACCAACAAAUAACAAGCUCCUCACUUUUUAAGCACAGCCUUAUGAGGAAAUAUUGUUACAAUGAGCUGCAGCUCAAGACUGGCAUGAAGAUAAAAAUGAACGCAGGAAUCGCAGUCAAGUGAGAGCGCGUGCAGAAUAGAAGUUGCAAGGAGAAGUGGGGCCAGGAACAAUUGCAGUGGUUCCCAGGAGCCCCAUGGGGAGAAGUGGCCUUCACAUACUGAGAAAUUCAGACCUCUUAGGAAGAACUUGCUGUAGAGUUAGUAAAAGCUGGUUUAUGACUCUUCAGACUGAGAUGGCCAUCAAAAAUGAACAGGCAAUUUAUUUUUUUUUCUGAGGUGCAGUGAACUGUGUUGCUGCUGUAGCACUGCCUUCACCAAAAGGAGCUGCUGUGCCGCAACAGGGUCUGUCCUGUGGGACAGGAGCCUUGCAGAGCUCGCAUGAAGUGUCGGGUCAGUAACUCUGAGCCCUUGGAUAUGCAGCUGCUUUGUUUGCCAUGUGAACCGGCCUGACUCCAGAGAACAGGUGCUUAGCGUGCUCCUACAUUCACAUCUUUUGAAAGACACCCCCACUAGACAUCCCAAACUACUAAUGGUUUUGCACACCCCAGCCUCAAGCCUCAGUCUUCUUAGCAGACUCUAAUGCCAAGGACAGCAAGGCUGGCCAAGAGAAGCAGCUGAUAAGACAUCAUGUGGACCCAAAGCCAUGGAUUUAAUUGAGUUUAAAGGCAGAAGAUCACCAAACUGCCUGCAGAUUAGGCAUUUAGCUAGUAAAGUUUUGCCUAGUUACUUGCUACUUGAGCCCCUUGGCAUGGAUUAGACAAAAGCACACAAGUCCUCAGGGAACAGAUUACUAAUUGCCAUCACCAAAGAGCAGGAUUCGCCCUGCUAACAGUCAUACCCAAUUCCUUGAUCAAAAUCUCCCGGUAGGGGAACCAGGCAAUGUCAUCCUGAUGUGGGGAAAAAAGAGCCUCACUGUAGCCCCAUAUUAAACCCCAGGUAUGUGAAGAGGGAAGACGGGGAGUUCUCUGCCCAUUUCACAUCCCAUCUGCUCAAGACUUACAAGACUUUUUCCACCCCUGUAUUGUGCUGUGUACCUCUCCCAACAUCCCUCUAGAUGUGCAGACAAGGAAAUUGUAUUGCACCCGUCCUACCAGGGCUAUGUCAGAGAAUAACUUCCCUAUUUCUCUUUGACAGACCUCCAGGAGACCCUGGUAAGUCCAGGAUUUCCUUAAGCCCCUAUUUCACUCCACCCUGAUGAUGAGUCCUGCUAAGAGCCUGGGAGCUGCUGUGGAGUGCUGAACUCAGCCCUUGUAUGAGCCACCACUCACCAAGCCCUGCACCCCACCCUGGGGCUGCCAUCAGUAUUCAUCUCUAUUUCCAUUUGCAAAGAGUGACUGGUUUGAGGGAAGGGGAAGCUGACCGCCCACGCCGUCAGUGGGGGGCAUGGUCUCAUACCCGCACAGGAGCAGAGGGGUUGUCCUGGGCCUGGCCACCAACAGGCACUCUCCUGGAGACCUCCCCAUGCCCCAGGCCUCUCAUGGCUGCAGACUUGGCAGCUGGCACAAGAUGCCCUCCCUGCCCCACACCAUCUUUCCCUAAAUAUUAUGUUUUAUAACGUGUUGGUUUUAGCUGUUGUAUUUGGCAGGCGUCCUUGAUUGCCUUUAGCAGCAAUGGCUUACUGACAGGAAGCAAAAUUUGAGGAUGCUAGCGCUUUACUGCAGCUCCCCGACUUUGUCUCCUACACACACAUGCCACCCCUUCACUACCAGGCCCAGAAAUGGGGUCAGGUGAUAAGAACUGAUGCUCAGGGCAGAAUAUAUCUUAUAUUCCUCCCCUCAGAACAUUUCCAGGAUCAGACUUUUUCUCUGUGUUUUGGUUUUUUUAUAAUGUUCACCAACUUCUUGGUAGGAUGAGAUGUGGUGUAGAUCAGGAGGUUCAGAUUUCCCUUUUGGGAGACACAUGCAGAGUUUUUGUCCGUCUUAACACUGCAGGCUGGCAUUUCAAAACUCCUUCUUAAAUGCCAGAAAAGUAGCUAUCAUCUCAUCAGAGUUCAGAUCCUGUGUGCUGUCUGUCUGUAAGGACCUCAGUGGGUAUAAUAGUUGCUCCCUGCCAGUUUCUGAACAAACUUGAUCUUAUUUCUACAGCUACUUUUGGAUGUUUCAGCCACACAAAUAUAUGGUCAGAAUAAAGUGGAAAUGGGAGCUAGUGGGAGGUGGGAAGAAAGAGAGAGAGAAGAUUCAUCUCUUCUUCCUGACACAGUGCUUUCAUCUGUGAAUAUGGGUUGUUAUCCCAGCAUUAGGAUUUGGGCUGAAGUUUUAUAGCAAAGACAUGUCAAACCCUCCCCUAUUCUGAGGAAAAUAGGCAUAAGCGGAAAUAAAUACAUAAAUAUUCAGCUGAGACAUCAGAUGCUAACCAAGGCCACCCAGUGAGUUGGCUUUUGUUCUAAACCAUCUUUCUGUUCUGUAUUUGUGCAUGUCUUUCACCGCGGGGUGCUUGGCUCCAUGGGGACCAUGACCUACCACUUCUACACUGAUGCAGAGCGAGGUCUCCUGUGCUUCACAGGCUGAGCUUUGCUGCACUUACCUUGUCAAAUUUCCUUCAGAAACAGCCAGGAAGCUCUGCAGGGUGGAAUAUGUAGGGGAGGAAAGCCCUUUGGCAGGGCUGAUUUCUGAACAUAGUGGAUGAGCUUCAUCUUACCUAACACUAGCUGCUGGAAACUAACUGCUGAGCAACUAGUCCUUCCUACUUCCACUCCCACUAGAGCAAGUGAAGAAAAGUGGAAAAAGAAAAAUCAUUUACCCUGGAUCUUUGUGACCUGGGGCCUCCUAGGAGGUGAGAUGAAUCCCACCCUGAGGAGUUUUGUGGGUUUUGGUCCACUUUGCAGGGAGCAGGAGCGCAGAGCUAGCACUUGACUCUCUGUUCUGCAGACCUUGGCUUGCCUUUUGGGAGCUCCCAAUGUAGCCAAAACCAGUGUCAUCUCCUGGGUUUUACUCUGAAAAUGCAGGGGCUGUACACAAGGUCUGGUUAUUCCUAAUUCUUGGUGGUUCAAGACCACCUGGUGCAGCUUGACAGGAGUGGGAUGCUGCGUCCCCUCGCAGGACCACUGCCUGUUGUGCACUGUGCAUGGUCUGGAGUCCAGCUGCAGAGACAUCCAGCUCCUCUGUUUAUGCUGCAGCUGCCUCCCAAACACCAUCUGAAGGUGCAGGCGAAACAAGAGCACUUCUAGUACUGCAUGCAACGUAUGCAAGUUACAGGAUAAUUUCUGUCUCCAGGAACUCACAGUCUAAAUGAAGACAAGGCUGCAGCGAGAGAUGUCGUGAGAACUGGUAACAGGGAGAAAGGAGGAUGGAAAAAAGGAACCUUGUUGCAAUCUCACCCUUCUUUCAGCACACUGCCUUUUUUUUAAUGCAAACUUUCCUGUUUUCUGGAAUGAUCUCCCAGCACAUCCCACUUCUUUCCUGUUUAUCUCUGUCAAUAUCUGAUGCUUAUACUGUAUCUCUAGAUACAUAAUGCAUCACUUCACAUGUGGUGUUAAUAAGCAGUGAGUGUCUGCACAGAGUGGUUGCAAAGAGCAUCUGACUGCAUUGCAGGAUGCCUGGAACUGGGGUUGUUUUCUCAGAUGAACAUAGGCAGGACAUAUCUGAGAUUAUUUUUGCUCCAUUCCUUCUUAUCACAUACAUAUUUUCAGAACUCAAAGUCUGGACAAGUAGAACAUCGCGAUGUCAACCAAGGGAAGAUGUAAAUCUCCUUAAGUAAUUUUUAAUGAAAAAAAAUAUUGAGUUACUCUGAGUGCCAUAGUUUCUGGGUGGCUGACUUUAACUUUAGGAAUCCAUACUUAAAGGGAAAUUUUACAGUCUUAAUAUAUUCCAGAUGCUUUCCUAGUCCCAGAUGAAAGCUCUGUCAUCGUUUACUGUUAAUAUUUUUGUCAGCAGUAGAAUUUUAUUGUAAUAGCCUGUCUUAUUUGUAGUCACUAUUAGCCAUGAGAGAAACUUCCUCUACAAGUAACCCCUGGGUCACCCCGUGAGUGCCCCGUCUCACUCUAUUUAAUUAAAAACCAUUAACUGCU
Molecule: long non-coding RNA, 8022 nt
Organism: Falco peregrinus (peregrine falcon)
Lineage: Eukaryota; Metazoa; Chordata; Aves; Falconiformes; Falconidae
Exons: 4
Source: RefSeq, a predicted model, not a curated record